CCCGCUGAACUUAAGCAUAUCAAUAAGGCGAGGAACAGAAACCAACUGGGAUUCCCUCAGUAGUGGCGAAUGAAGCGGGAAAAGCUCAAGUUUGAAAUCCGGAGGGGCGACCCCCGGAGUUGUAAGCUGAAGAAGGCUUCGACCGACGUGGCCCGGGCCCAAUUUCCUUGGAACAGGAGGUCAUGGAGGGUGAGAACCCCGUCCGUGGCUCGGGCGUCGCCGUCCUUGUGUCGUGCCCUCGAAGAGUCGGGUUGUUUGGGAAUGCAGCUCAAAAUGGGUGGUAAAUUUCAUCUAAGGCUAAAUAUUGGCGAGAGACCGAUAGCAAACAAGUAGAGUGAUCGAAAGAUGAAAAGUACUUUGAAAAGAGAGUGAAACAGUACGUGAAAUUGUUGAAAGGGAAGCGUUUGGCAUCAGCCCAUGGCGCCCAUCGAUCAUCCGGGCUCUAGCCCGGUGCACGUGUCGGGCGUCGGGCCAACGUCGGCUCCGACCGUGGGAGAAAGGUGUGGGGGAUGUGGUUCCCUUCGGGGAGCGUUAUAACCCCAUGCGUCACGCCACGGGACGGGGCCGAGGUCCGCGGUUCUUCCUAGGACGCUGGCUUAAUGGUUCCAAGCGACCCGUCUUGAAACACGG
RNAcentral lists this ribosomal RNA (630 nucleotides) under uncultured fungus. Its description in RNAcentral is "eukaryotic LSU rRNA". It matches the Rfam family "Eukaryotic large subunit ribosomal RNA", at positions 24 to 664 of the family's 3401-position model. Lineage: Eukaryota; Fungi. The record is from RNAcentral.